RNAcentral lists this microRNA (24 nucleotides) under Zea mays. RNAcentral describes it as "microRNA miR-3155". Lineage: Eukaryota; Viridiplantae; Streptophyta; Magnoliopsida; Poales; Poaceae. The record is from RNAcentral.
AUGGAUUAAGGUGAAUACAUAGGC